Non-coding RNA from Thalassospira xiamenensis M-5 = DSM 17429, 74 nucleotides. The record is from Rfam. NCBI's taxonomy places the organism in Bacteria, Pseudomonadati, Pseudomonadota, Alphaproteobacteria, Rhodospirillales, Thalassospiraceae.
GCGGGUGUAGCUCAGUUGGUUAGAGCGCCGGCCUGUCACGCCGGAGGCCGCGGGUUCAAGUCCCGUCACUCGCG